Molecule: ribosomal RNA, 373 nt
Filed under: uncultured organism
Description: bacterial SSU rRNA
Rfam family: Bacterial small subunit ribosomal RNA
Source: RNAcentral
CGUAGGGUGCAAGCGUUGUCCGGAAUUAUUGGGCGUAAAGAGCUCGUAGGCGGUCUGUUGCGUCGGCUGUGAAAACCCGGGGCUCAACUCCGGGCCUGCAGCCGAUACGGGCAGACUAGAGUUCGGCAGGGGAGACUGGAAUUCCUGGUGUAGCGGUGAAAUGCGCGGAUAUCAGGAGGAACACCGGUGGCGAAGGCGGGUCUCUGGGCCGAUACUGACGCUGAGGAGCGAAAGCGUGGGGAGCGAACAGGAUUAGAUACCCUGGUAGUCCACGCCGUAAACGUUGGGCGCUAGGUGUGGGUUCCCUUCCACGGGAUCCGUGCCGCAGCUAACGCAUUAAGCGCCCCGCCUGGGGAGUACGGCCGCAAGGCUA